Molecule: non-coding RNA, 13024 nt
Organism: Oryctolagus cuniculus (rabbit)
Lineage: Eukaryota; Metazoa; Chordata; Mammalia; Lagomorpha; Leporidae
Source: RefSeq, a predicted model, not a curated record
UGUAUGAAUAAACUGCCCCGUUUACUGUGAUUGCGGAGGGGCUUGUGUUUGUUUCUGCCUUCAGUUAACUCAUGUUUCUUUGUAAUUUUCCAUAUCUUUUUCUUUUCUUGUUUCUCCAGCCUCUUUAGCUGAAAUAUCUAAUUAAUUAAGUUGGUUAGAGUACUGAGUCAGAAGUUCAAGCCCCACCUGGUUCAGGUAACUUGACCCUUCCCUAGCUCCUGCCUGCCUUCCUGCUGGCAUCCAGUUAUUUUGAGAAGGCAAGCUGCUGCUUACAGGGAGAAUAGUCAGGAAGAAGGCCUGCGGAGGAAGCAUGCAGUAGUGUGGUCUUUGGGAGUGAGACUGUCUGGUUUUGAAUUCUGAUUUUGCUACUUUUUAGUACUCUGACAGCUGGACAAAUUGAUUAAGGAAACAGCAGUAUAUAUUGUUAUACCUAAUGGUCCAAAACACAAGAAUUUAAAUGAAAAAUUUUAGGAAAUUUUGGAAGUAUGUAACACGAAGUAGCAUUCCUUGUAAUUUAGUCAUGGUGUGGCAUAGGUGGAAAGGACUUUCAGUCCCCUCAUUCUGUAGGUCUUAGAACUAGAACCCACAUAUAUGAAAUAAUGUGUCCAGGGUCCUGGAGCUGGUUGCAGCAGAGCCCAGCUGGAAUCCAGGGCUCCUGCUUUCCAGUGCUGUGCUCUUUAGGGUAUGUUUCCUUUGGGUUCUUUCUCUGUCCUGAAAGUUUGUGGGUGGGUGUGUGUGUUUAAUGAUUUUUUACUUAUUUGAAAGAGAAGGGGAGACAGAGGCCUUUUAUCUACCAAUUCACUCCCCCAAGUGGCCACAACAGCUGGGGCUGUGCCAGGGCGAAGCCAGGAGCUAGGAGCUUCAUCCAGGUCUCCCACUUGGGUGUCAGGGACCUAAGUACUCAGGCCAUCCACUGCUGUUUUUCCUAGACUAUUGGCAGGGAGCUGGAUUGGAAGUGGAGCAGCCGGGACCCGAACCAGAGCCCAUGUGCAGGGCUCCACAACCACGGCCCCAUGUCCUAAAAGAUUUGACUUUGGGGACCUGGCACUGUAGUGUAGCGGGUAAAGCUGCUGCCUGCAGUGGUUUGAGUCCCAGCUGCUCCACUUCUGAUCCAGUUCUCAGCUAAGGCCUGGGAAAGUAGAGGAAGAUGGCCCAAGUCCUUGGGCCCCUGCACCCGCGUGGGAGACCCGGAAGAAACUCCUGGCUUCUGGCUUCAGAUCAGCCCAGCUCUGGCCAUUGCAGUCAAUUGGAGAGUGAACCAGCAGAUGGAAGACUUCUCUCUCUCUCCCUCCCUCUCUUUCUCUCCCUUCCCCCCCUCACCUCCCCACCUCUCCUUCUCUCUCUGUGUAAUUCUGACUUUCAAAUAAAUAAAUCUUUUAAAAAUAAAAAGAUUUGACUUUGGGUAAUUUCAAUUGCCUGAAAAUCAUUUUCCAUUUCACCUUUUCAGACAUAUGCUUUUAUUUACUAGCAUUUUAACUAGGACUCCAAGACAAGUCUGACAAAACCUAAAGCCUUGGUUAUUGGCUGUGGUGUCUCCAGGUGACAGUGCCUGUUGGUGUAUCUGAGGACAAGUAAGGUAGAGGCUUCUGAAUAAGGGGCAUUGGAACGCCUGGGUGUUUGGAUAGUCUUUCACCCAUUGUCUUACUUUCAGAAGGAGCACCUGUUCUACCUCCCUCUAGGCCUUCAGUUUUCAGUAUGUAUACCAAUAGCCUGUGCCUUUAUUCAUCGUUUUUUUUUUUUUUUCUUUUUUAACUUAGCAAUUUAGACUGCUUUUGAAAUUGUUUCUAUGCAGUGUAAUUCCAGAAUGGAUUUCAUGUGUUAUAAUUUUCUUAGGUUAAGGAGUUAGUUUGGACAAGAAUUUUCACUUUGUUUGCAGUUAAGCAAUUUUAUGGGUUUAGGGUAAAUUAGGUAGUCAAAUUGUUUAAUUGAGCUGGUGAAAUUUUUUGUCCAUUCUAGCAUUCCCUAAUUUGUGGAGUCAGGGCAGUUGGUGGUUUUCUUAAUUUCCAAAAAAUGAAAAUUGUUAUUUUGAAACUUUAGAAGGAAGCUUUCUUUAAAAUUCCCAACAUAUCUCUCUUGCUGGAAAUAGGGCCACUAAACUUGAAAUAAUUUUUAAAAAUUAAAUGAUACCGUUUGCUUUUUUCACUUGUGUGCCUUGAAAAUUGGUUCUGUAGUAGUUGUUACAGUGCAGCCUUACAUAUUUUUUUAAAAAACUAUCCUUUUCACUAAGUCUUAGAAAUACACAGAUACAGGGAGUACCCUCAUCUAGUUUUACCUUAAGUGAAUCCAUAAUGACUUAUGUUAUUUCUUAUUAGUAACCAUAUAUGUAUAGUGUUUAAGACAAAGAAAGGGAUCGCUGGGUGUACUUUGCCCAGUGAGGGGUAUCGUGAAUAGUUUCCACAGCAUUGCACUUCACAGCUGAGGUGGAUGAUCUUGAAGGGGUCAUUGCUCACAUCAGUGAUUAUUUCUUUUAGGGUAAGUUCUGAGACAUUAUGCUCCUGGUAUUUUCAUUUUAAGGAUUUUAAUUCAUAUUGUUAGUUUACUCUAGAAAGAUUUAACUAAUUUAACCCUUAUUCAUUAAACAAAUAUUUUUUGAACACUUACCAUGUCCCAAGCACUAUUUUCUGUCCCUGGAUACUGCAAUGAAGGGAGGGGGAGGGGGUCUGCCCCCUUGGGAGUUUAUUUUAGUGGGAGGGGAGACAGACUAAAGAACAGCCUUAGUAGGGUAAGUAAGUUACAUAAUUUAUUAGUAGAUAGAGUGGGGACAUAGAAGACAAUGAGAGCAGUUGAGAAGUGGGGAUAGGGUUGCAGUUUUAAAUGGGGUUAAUGGAGACCACACUGAGAAGGUGACAGUUGAACAAAGACUUGGAGGAGGACUGUUCCAGGCAGAGCAGUGGGAGUGGGAGUGUUCCUCAUUCUCUACAUAGAGAGACCAGAACUCCCUAAUAUUGACAAAUCUUUCCAAGUCUCGUAAUAUAAGGCCUCUUGUUUUUAAACUUAAUUUUUUUUUUUUUGACAGGUAGAGUUAGACAGUGAGAGAGAGACAGAGAGAAAGGUCUUCCCUCCGUUGGUUCAUCCCCCAAAUGGCUGUUAUGGUUGGCGUGUGCCUAUCCAAAGCCAGGAGCCAGGCGCUUCCUCCUGGUCUCCCAUGGGGUGCAGGGCCCAAGCACUUGGGCCAUCCUCCACUGUCUUCCCGGGCCACAGCAGAGAGCUGGACUGGAAGAGGAACAACCGGGACAGAACCUGGCGCCAUGUGGGAUGCCAGCACUACAGGUGGAGGCUUAACCUACUGUGCCACAGUGCCGGCCACUGACCCAUUUUUUUAUAUUGGACAAUAAUCCUUUUUUUAAAAAAAAGCUUAAGAGCUCUUUAUUAAGAACAUGUCCCUGUGGGGAAUUAACAUUUGUAUUUCUCAGUUUGUUGUUGACCUUUCAGAUUUCUUUUAUCAAGGUAGUGUUUGGCACAGCAGUUUAAACACUUCUUGGGAUGUCCCAAUCCCAUAUCCGAGUGCUUGGGACUAACUCAGACCCAGACUGUGAUCUGGAAUUAUAACCCCAGCAGUGGCAGGUUUACCCACUGUGCCAUAACACUAGUGUCUGGGAGAGGUGUUGUUGUUUUUUUUUUUUUUUUUUUUUUUUUUUUUUUUUUGGACCCAGCAGGUAAGGCCUCUACCUUUGACGGCAUCAUCCCAUAUGGGCGCUGGUUUGACACACAGCUGAUCCACUUCCAAACCACCUCUCUGCUAAUGUGCCUAGGAAAGCAGUGGAGGACAGCCCAACUUUUGGGCUCCUGUACCCAUGUGGGAGAUCUGGAAGGAGCUCCGUGCUCCUGCCUCAGCCCCGGCAGUUGUGGUCAUUUGGGGAAUGAACGAGCGGAUGGAAGAUCUCUGUUACUCUGCCUCCCUCCCUCCCUCCCUCUCUUCCUUCAUUUAUUUAUUAUUUGAAAGGCAGAGAGAGAGAGAGAGAGAGAGAGAGAGGGGUCUUCUGUCUGCUGGUUCAUUUCCCAAAUGACCUCAAUGGCCAGAGCUGAGUUGAUCCAAAGCCAGGAGCUAGGAGCUACUUCUGGGUUUCCCACACGGGUGCAGGGGCCUGAGCACUUGGGCCAUCUUCUACUGCUUUCCCAGGCCAUAGCAGAGAGCUGGAUCAAAAGGGAGCAGCUGGGACUCGAACUGGGAGCCCUAUAAGAUUCCAGCACUGCAGGCAGCGGUUUUACUCACUGUGCCACAGCACCAGCCCAACUCUGCCUUUCAAAUAAAUAAAAAUAAAUAAAUAUUUAAUAAAAAAAGAACUCUCACUGUGCAAAAAAAUGGUUAACAAGUAUCUAGCUAUGCUUAUAAUCUUAUAAUUUCUGAUUGAAAUUAAGAAUCUAUCAGGUUUUUAAAGAAUAUUUUUAUUUGAAAGGUGGAGUUACAAAGAGGCGGGGGCGGGGGGGACUUCCAUUCACUGGUUCACUCCCCAAAUGGCCUCAAUGGCUGGAGCUGGGCCGAUCUGGAGCCAGGAACUUCUUCCAGGUCUCCUGUGCGGGUGCAGGGGCCCAAGGAUUUGGUCAAUCUUCCACUACUUUCGCAGGUCACAGCAGAGAGCUGGAUCAGAAGAGGAGCAGGGGCCGGCACUGUGGCAUAGCGGGUAAAGCUGCUGCCUGCAGUGCCAGCAUCCCAUAUGGGCACCAGUUCGAGACUCUUCGAAUCCAGCUCUCUGCUAUGGCCUGGGAAAGCAGUAGAAGAUGGCCCGAAUCUUUGGGCCCCUGCACCUGUGUGGAGACCCAGAAAAAAAUACUGUCAGUUAAACUGGGAUACCAUUGACUAAGAUGUGUCUAAAUUUCAGAGAUGUAAAAUUGCCAGAGAUAUUCAUAUAUGAAUCAGUGAGGUACAGGAAUUCCAGUGAUGUGUGGAAUUGACAGCAUUAUUGUCUUUUAGUAAGAUUGUUAUGGAAAAAUCAAGUAUACAGAAAAUAGAGAAAACAGCAAAAUAAACUGUUUUCAUCUUUCAGCUUCAACAGUUCAACUAUGGCCAAUGUUUUUUGAUCUUCCAUUUCUCUUCACCCUUUUUUGAAGCAAAUCCCAGGCAUCAUAAGACAUGCAGUAUUAAUUUUCAAAACCACGAUGUACUAUAAUCACACGUUAAUUUUUUAAAAAUUCUUAGUAUCAAAUAUCCAGUCUUCCAAUUUCCCUGCUAAUUUUGUUUCAGUUAGGAUCUAUAACGUCCUUAUAUUGCCAUUGUUUGAAAAGUCUCUCUAGUCUUUUAGUGUGGUUCUUUGUGGUUCUUUUCUAUGAAAAUUUGUUUUUGCUACACUACUUCAUAGGUGGUGGUAUGUUCUUCCAUCAGGAGGCUUCUGCUGUCUGGUCUUCUCUUUUUGUUGAAUGUUAGUGGCUGUUGAGCAUUGCAGUCCAUCUUUUUUUUUUUUAAGAUUUCAAAAUGACAGCAUACCAUUAUUCCUUAAUGUAUUGAUUGUAAUACUACAACAGUUGUGCUUGCACCAAAAUCACCAGGUUGUGGUGGGAGGGUUCUAAGCAAGUUAGGGGAGGACAUGAGUAGGGGCCUGGAGGGUGCAGGGUACAUCAGGCUGCUGGAGAGCAUUGUGCUUUAGCCCACGGAGGAGGGGGAGGGGAAGGGCAAAUGCACCAAGGUCCCCACUUGUUCCUGCUGUUCUCAGCACCCUGGGGCUGCAAGCAUCUGGGCAGAUCUGCCCUUUAUUGCUGCCCACCAGCAUUCAACACCCUGACCCCAGCACUAGCACCACAGGUGGAUCCAGGGCAGGGAUAAGGGCAGGAGUGGAACAACAUUGCUUAGAAAGAUUCAACCAGAACCCAGUGACUUGUGCUCAGUUCUCUUCACUUCCUACAACCGAGUACAUGGGUCACAGGUGGAGGGUGCAGUAGGACAUGAGCGUGCCCCUCUGUGCCUCCAGCACACACGUGCACACAGGACGGUGGUGUCUGCAGCAUCACAGGUCAUGCAGGGUGUGGGGAAGCAGAGGUUCACACACACAUAGAUGCCACAGCGGGUGCCAGACAGAGAAUGCCCCUGAAUGUUCACAGCUGUACAUGGCCCCCUCCCUCCCCAGUCCCCCCGCCCCCCUUUCUUGCCAUCCUCCAUGCAGGGAAACUAUUGCUUUGAGAGAGCCACCCUGGGGGCUGCUCUGCCAAGCACUCCCCUUCCCAUCCCCCCACAUCUGCAAGACAUAGGGCAGUGAGAGUAGGCACCUCCCCACCAGGCUUCUGGAGCUUGGAGCUGGGGAAGGGGGCAGGAGACUUCAUCCUCUGUCUUUCCUCUAACACUUCCCGAACCCCUGCCAAACCCACUCCAGCCAGAACCCUCCUCACCCCUUAAAACACACAUACAAAGCUGAGUUAUCCAAGAAUACAAGGAGAUUGCCUGGGAUGGGUGUGGAGAUGGGACAAGGGGAGACUGGAAGCAGAGGGGACCCCUCCCCCCCAGCAUGGGGUAAGACUGGCGCAAUAGCUACUUUAGUACAGUUGGAGAGGGUUCCCAGAGUGAGGGAUGGGGAUGGGAGGGAAGGCUCUCCCUAGCUUCCUGGGGGCAAAGUCAAGCUUCUGGGUUCCCCAGGGAAAGGGCCUAGCAGGGGUGAUUGACAGCCAGAGCAGAUCCUUUGUCACUGCCACCCUCUGCCCUCCCAAAUGCAGUGAUAGUGUCCCCCUCACACCUAAGUGGGCAACAGCUGCCUCAGAGUCAGUACCUUCAGGUAAUUCAAAAAGCAGGUCUUCCCACCCCGGCUUCCUCCAGUCUUUGCAUUUGGUCGCUUCUCUAGGGGUUGGAUCGGGAAGAGGGAGUCCCCACAUCAGAGCCUUUCCUCUCCACCUCCCUCUUCCCAGGCCACUAGGCUUGGUCCUCAAAGAUUCCUUACCUCUGCUCCUGCCCAACUCAGGUCAAGGCCACGGAGGGCCUGAGCCACCACAAUUAGAGGGGAAGGGGCUGCUUUGUUUCUGUCCCUCCUUAAAAGGUAGGGUUUCAGACUAGGUGAGAUAUGGGCAUACUGGCUGGCCCCAGGCGUAGGGUUUCCUUUUGCCAUUGGUAGGGGAGGUGGGGAUGAAUACUAUGUGUGGGGAGGGGGUGAGAAGUGGCUGAGGGGAAGGAGGAAGAGUCCCCCCCACUAGAGUGCAGUUGCUGGAGCCAUUUGGACAAAAAAACUCAGUGCGUAAGAAACAGAGUGCGGCCAGUGCCACGGCUCACUAGGCUAAUCCUCCGCUUGCGGCGCUGGCACACCAGGUUCUAGUCCCGGUCAGAGCGCCGGAUUCUAUCCUGGUUGCUCCUCUUCCUGUCCAGCUCUCUGCUGUGGCCCGGGAGUACAGUGGAGGAUGGCCCAAGUGCUUGGGCCUUGCACCCAUAUGGGAGACCAAGAGAAGCUCCUGGCUUCGGAUCAGCGCGGUGCGCUGGCCACAGCGGCCAUUGGGGGGUGAACCAACAGAAAAGGAAGACCUGAGGUUUGGGGGUUAUAGCUAUAGAAAUGUUCACUCUGGCCUCACCCACCCUACCCCCAGCCUCUUCUCUUCCAGUCCAGGGAGCAGGAAGGUGCUUGUUGGGGGCCGACAGCCAUGGAAUUUUUCCUUUGUUUACAUGUUGAAGGCAAAAGUGAGCUGGACUUACAGUCAAGAUGGACAGGGGUGAAGAAGUAAGAAGGGUAUGGCUGAUGCUGGAGAGGAAGGAAGACCCUCCUCGGUCCCUCUGUAUCAACUCUCCCACCCCUCACAGCACCAGAGGAGAAGCGCCCUCCCUGCACACCCCUCUCCCCGUCCCUGCUAUACAUUCAGUGGUUUUCAGCAGUCCUAUGCCUCAGUGGGCCACGGGCAGGGCAGGUGGCCCAUCAGUCUCAGCUGGACAGUGACAGUGACCUGGGUCUGUUGGUCCAUCCCAGGACCCACAGUUUAUGCCUUUUUUUUUUUUUUUUUUCUGAAGGAUAGAACACAACCCUAGCAAAGCCACUGCCCAUGCAGAGACAUCCCCCAAAAGUCAGAAACCAAAAACUGGCUCUUUUCAUCUCACCCCCUGAUUCACACCUCUGUUUCCCCGUCUCCUCUGUAGCCCUCACUGUCUGCUUUGCAGGGACCUGGGGCUGCUCCCAGGCUCCUUACUUGAAAUAGGCCUUUCCACCAAAGUGCUUAUUCCUUGAAGCAAGUGCUUUAGAGCUGCAGGGGGAGGGGGCAGAGGGAGGCUGAAGGGAAGGAUAGGCUCCCUCCCCGCCCUACCCCUGCAGAUUGGGGGGCAUUCUGCCUCUUUUACUUCUCCACACCCGUUUAUGUCAGAUUUUUAAAAAAUUGUAACAUUAAAAUAUAUAUACAGUAGCCUUGAGAAUGGUCAGAAUGCUUCAAAAAACACUAGGGGCCAAGGAGCCCAUGGGUGAGGGGUGGUGGGAUUUACUUUGGCAUAUGGAGAGGAGACCACUCGCCCCACAAGCCUCCUCGCAGUUAUGUGAGGAGGGCCCGGGGAUUCUCCACAGCCUCGCCCAGCACUGCCGACAGAGUGCCAAGGAGGUGGCAGGGAGCAGAGAGCUCCCCGAAGUCUCACCUAGCAAACAAGGGGGUUCCCGACAAGCACUCCGAUGUUUUCUGUCACUGCCAAGCAGUGACAAAGAACACGACUGACACCCGAGAGUCUUCACUAGAGGAGGACCCGUCUCCCACUCCUCUUUUGCCCCCUUGCCCCCACCUAGUUUUCAGCACCAAGAUGGGAGUGUGGAAUGGGAAGAUCUGAGGGAGAGAGAAUUGAAGUUGGGGGGGCAGGCUUUGUAGAACCAGCAGGGUGGGGGUUGGAGCUGCAGCCUUUAAGAAAGGUUACAUUGAUUGUUGUAGAGGAGGGGACAGGGCGUGAGUGGGGGGGUGGACAAGAGGGGUAUCACAAGGCCCUUUGGCUUUGAAAAUAAAAACUAAAAGCUGCACAAUCCUUUUUACCAAUAAUAAUCAUUUGGAAGCCUUGAAAUGGUUUAGGAACUGAGGGUUGGGAAGCAAGACACAGAGACAGGGAUGAAGAGGGACCAUGCGUGAAUAAGGACUUGGGCAGACACCCCAGGCUUCGGCAACCAGUAUGAGAUAUGGUUGAGGGCAUCUGCUGGGGUGGGGGGCAGUCCUGGGGAUGCCAGUUCCGCCCCCAGCCCAACCUUGGCAAGGAGGACACAACUGGAACAUGGCUAAGAUCACAAAUAAAGCAAGCUGGAGUCGCGGAGGGAAGGAGGCCACAGGAGCCCUGGGGAGCCCUGCGCUGUGUAAACGAUCCCUGUCCAGUUCUCAGGGGCCAAUACUGACCGGCAGCCAAACCAGGCAGAUGCACUGUGGACAUGACCUCUAUUCAAGUUCUGGGUCCUAGACACAGAUUUUAACAGACAGAUUUUAACAUUUGUGGCUUAAUCUAUUGAAAUUGGGCCCCCCCAUAGUUUAUGAAAGUACAAUUUAUAUACCGUAAAACUCACCUAUAUCAAGUCUUUAAUGGGUUUUAGUAUGUUCAGUUUUGUAACCAUCAUCACUACAAUAUAGGUUGAGAAUGUUUUCAUUAUUCCACAAAGAAACCAUGUACCCACUAGCAAUCAUUCUCCGUGGCCUCCUCCUGGCCCCUCCAAUUCCAGGCAGCCACUGAUCUGUCCCUGUGGAGUUGCCUAUCCUGGACAGUUCAUAUAAAUGGAAUCACGCACUGUGAGGUCCUUUUGACUGGGUUCUUUUACUUGGCAUAAUAUUUUUAAUAUUCAUGCAUGUUAAUAGCAUGUGUAGUUGUUACUUUUAUAGAUUGCUCCUUUUUUGGCCAAUUACAUUCUCUUCAGGGUGACUCGUGAGACGUCUUUGAUAGCUCUUUUACUGUUUGAUAUGACAGAAAGUCCAGUCUCAUCUGUUACAUUCUCAGUACCAGACCAGGAACUAGCUGUUUCUUCAAAAAGUCUUUUUGUGUGAAAUGGUUUCGGAGAUCACAACCUGGUUCUGAGUUAGUCAUUGUGUCUUGGGCCUUUUCUGGAACUAUGGAUAGGAAAUAAGUGUUUUUUCUUUUUUUUUUUUUUAAAGAUUUAUUUAUUAUUUAUUUGAAAGUCAGAGUUUCACAGGAGAGAGAGAGGGGGAGAGAGAAGAGAGGGAGAUCUUCCAUCCGCUAGAUCAUUCCCCAGUUGGCUGCAACAGCCAGAGCUGUGCCAAUCUGAAGCCAGGAGCAUCCUCCAGGUCUCCCAUGUGGGUGCAGGGGCUGAGGACUUGGACCAUCUUCUACUGCUUUCCCAGGCCACAGCAGAGAGUUGGAUCGGAAGAGGAGCAGCCGGGACUCGAACCGGCGCCCAUAUGGGAUGCCAGCACUGCAGGCAGUGGCUUUACCCACUAUGCCACAGCGCCGGCCCCAAAGUCUUUAAAAAGAAAAUUUCAAGUUGUACUUAAAAGUCAAAAUAUAGGACCCAGAGACUUUUAACUUUGAUUAUAUUUCGCUUCCCUUGUCGCACACUUGAAAACCCCAGUUCUCCGCAGCUUCUCUGUGGUUACUUCUUUUCUUUUCCACAUAGAUAUAUACAACAGACUCAGAAUGACAAUGCCAGACCUACUGUCAACAAUAUGAUGACUAAAGAAAGUUAACAAUUGUUUUUCUUAGGGUAUGUUUCACUAGGGAUGUAGAAUCUAUUACUGAGUUCUAUAGUUGAGGGGACCAGUUCCUGUCUGUGUAAUUAUAGUACCACCUGGUUAUACAUUUUUGUUUGCUUUCGUUUUACAUCAUAUUUGGCUUUUUACAAAUUUCAAAUCUUGCAGAAUUACUUGGGUUAUCUAUGUUCAAAGCUUGAAAUGAAUAUGUAAUUUGUGCUUGUUGGUUUCUUCUUAGAAUAGGGUUUGUGAAGCAUGCUAUGAGUAAGACAAAAGAGAAGAUGGUUAUUAGAAUAAUGUAUGGAGUAGGCUUCCUCCUUUAUAUCUAAAAAGAAAAGACUUAUCAGCUCCUGCUGGUUAUCUUAGGAAAAUGUAAGUAUACAUCUUCAGAUUUUUUUCAGAAAAGCUGGAAUUUUAUGUAAAAUCCUCCUGUAAAAUCUUUAUAUAAUCAUACUGAUUGUUUAGUGUUCACAGUUUUAAGUAUUAUGAACUAAGUUAAGAGACAGGAUUUGGCUUGUUGCCUUCAGUUUUUAAUCUGGGUUGAAGAUGGAGCAUAAAGUAGGUCUGUUGUCUUAAGCUCUUGGUCCCAAGUGAUAGCAACAAGCACAAUUUGGGUACAAAAAAAUUGAAAUCCAUGUGUAAUCUUUUCAUUGUUUUUAUUUUCCAUGAUUUUUUUUUUUUUUUUUUUUUUUUGGACAGGUAGAGUGGACAGUGAGAGAGAGAGAGAGAGAGAAAGGUCUUCCUUUGCCGCUGGUUCACCCUCCAAUGGCUGCCGCGGCUGGCGCGCUGUGGCCGGCGCACCACGCUGAUCCGAUGGCAGGAGCCAGGUACUUCUGGUCUCCCAUGGGGUGCAGGGCCCAAGGACUUGGGCCACCCUCCACUGCACUCCCUGGCCACAGCAGAGAGCUGGCCUGGAAGAGGGGCAACCGGGACAGAAUCCGGCGCCCCGACCGGGACUAGAACUCGGUGUGCCGGCUCCGCAAGGCGGAGGAUUAGCCUAGUGAGCCGUGGCGCCGGCCUCCAUGAACUUUUUGAAGUACCUACAUCUUUGUGUGUGAGAUCUAAUUUGGAGUAUAGUCACUUGAAGAUUAGAAAUGGAUUAUAUUAAUUGAUUUAUUUAAGAUUUAUGUAUUUGAAAGAUUAACAGGGAGAGACAGAGAUCUUCCAUAUGCUGCUUUACUCCCCAAAUGGCCUGAAAUAGGGCUGGGCUGGGUUGAAAACCAGGAGCUUGGAACUCCAUCUGGGUCUCCUACAUGGGUUGUAGGAACCCAAAUACUUGGGCUGCCAUCCAGGACACAAACCAGCACUUUGAUAAGUGGUGCUGUCAUACCAAGCAGUGGCUUAAGUGACUGUGCCACAAUGCUCUCUCCAUUAUAUUUAGUUAUUUGUGUAUAAAUCCUGAUAAACUUAAGUACUCAAAAAAAUUUUUUUUAUCUGAAAGGCAGAGUUACAGAGAGAGAGAGAUCAGUUAUCUUCUUUCUGCUUGUUCACUCCCCAAGUAGCUGCAAUGGGUAAGACUGGACCAGACAGAAGCCAGGAGAUUCUUCCUGGUCUCCCACAUGGGUACAGGGGCCCAAGGACUCUGCUGCUUUCCCAGGAGCAUUAGCAGGGAGCUAGAUUAGAAGCAGAGCAACUGAGACACAGACUGGCACCCAUAUGGGAUGCUAACACAGGUGGCAGGCUGAAGCACCAGUCCUCCAAAUUUUAAUUUUGAUACUGGCAAACCCUAGCUCCAGUUUAGUAUUUCUUAAUAUUUAUUUCCAGUUUUAUUUGAAAAGCAGAGAGACAGAGAUCUUCCAUCUGCUGGUUUACUCCCUAACUGUUUACAACAGCCAUGACUGGGCUAAGCCAAAGUGGAGCCCAGAACUCCAUCCAGGUCUCCUAUGUGGUUAGUAGCAGUGUAAAUACUUGAGCCAUCAUCUGUUGCCCUCCCAGGAUGUGCAUUAGUAGGAAGCUGAAUCGAAAGUGGAGUAGCUGAGGCUUGAACCAGGCAUUCCAAGCAGCUGCUUAACCACUGCAGCAAGUGCUUGCCCCUCCAGUUAGAAUUUGAAUUGAGAAACGGACUACUUGGGGGCCGGCGCCGUGGCUCACUUGGCUAGUCUUCCGCCUGAGACGCCGGCAUCCCAUAUGGGCACCGGGUUCUAGUCCUGGCUGCUCCUCUUCCAGUCCGGCUCUCUGCUGGGGCCCGGGAGGGCAAUGGAGGAUGGCCUAGGUGUUUGGGCUCCUGCACCAGCGUGGGAGACCAGGAGGAGGCACCUGGCUUCUGGCUUCGGAUCGGCGUAGUUCCGGCUGUGGUGGCCAUUUGGGGGGGUGACCCAACGGAGGGAGGACCUUUCUUUCUGUUUCUCUCUCACACUGUCUGUAACUCUACCUCUUAAAUAAAUAAAUAAAAUCUUAAAAAAAAAAAAAAAGGACUACUUGAAUAUGUCUUCAUACAUAUUCAUUACAGUUUUCAAGUUAAAUUCAGAUAAAAUUA